Caenorhabditis elegans is the source of this 147-nucleotide non-coding RNA. The record is from Ensembl. NCBI's taxonomy places the organism in Eukaryota, Metazoa, Nematoda, Chromadorea, Rhabditida, Rhabditidae.
AAGUAAUGGGCUGAGAGUAGUGGAAUAGGUGUCGGCCGGUUUCUCUCUCUCUUCUCAUACGUAUAAUUGCUUUCUCCUUGCUUGUCACCAAUCGUCGUCAAUGAAGAAAAACGAUGAGGAAAAGGCGAAAGAAGGAGAAACAAAAAU